Molecule: unclassified non-coding RNA, 25 nt
Filed under: Mus musculus (house mouse)
Lineage: Eukaryota; Metazoa; Chordata; Mammalia; Rodentia; Muridae
Description: oocyte_clustered_small_RNA11156
Source: RNAcentral
UGAGCUCAGCUAGAAUCCCCGGCAG